GUGCACCAGGCGCGAAACCUUCGCAAUGCGGGAAACCGCGACGAGGGGACUCCCAGUGCCUACGCUCAGCGUAGGCUGUUCCCGAGCCUAGAAAGCUCGGGGAGUAAGGGCUGGGUAAGACGGGUGCCAGCCGCCGCGGUAAUACCCGCAGCCCGAGUGGUGGCCACUAUUAUUGGGCCUAAAGCGUCCGUAGCCGGCCCGGUAAAUGCCUGGGUAAAUCGUGAGGCCUAACCUCACGAAUUCCGGGUAGACUGCCGGGCUAGGGACCGGAGGAGGGAGAGGGGUACUCCGAGGGGUAGGGGUGAAAUCCUGUGAUCCCUGGAGGACCACCGGUGGCGAAGGCGCUCUCCUAGGACGGGUCCGACGGUGAGGGACGAAAGCCAGGGGGAGCGAACCGGAUUAGAUACCCCUGUAGU
Molecule: ribosomal RNA, 416 nt
Filed under: uncultured microorganism
Description: bacterial SSU rRNA
Rfam family: Archaeal small subunit ribosomal RNA
Source: RNAcentral